ACUCUCUCUCAAUGAGGGGCAUCUUAAGAAUCGCAGUGAUGAGAUCACUUUCAUGCUUCUCUCUAGUCUCAUGCAUGCAAAUGAGCUGCUUUCAUUUUGAAGAGUGCUUUAAGAUAUAAAAAGAGACGCUCAGAGAAAUGGAGACUAAACUCUUCAGUGAAUGCCAUGCUUCUGUCUGAAACCGACACUCCCCUCUGGACACAGGAUCUUGAUCUUUCUGGUUUCCUAGAGGGUCUGCAGUUUUGAUCUCCCCUCUCCUUUCAAAGCUGGAGUGCUGUCAGAGGCGUGGAGACUAAUGCUGAAAAGAGUUCUCCUGGCAGUAGGGAGCACAGUCAGGCAGUCAGAAGCCACAAAUCUGCUGACAGAUUUGUGUCUGAGUGCUGAGGUCUCUGCUUGCAUGCGCUGCAAUGAAGGUAGUCUCUCGGCACAGAACAGAGCCUACGCAUAUGACUGUGUGCUUGUUUUAGAAAGGCCCUUCCAUGCCUCACCCCUUCCUCUGUUUCCUCUCUACUUUCUCCAUCUCUCUCUCUCUCCCUCUCUGUUCCUCCCAUGGGAAAGGCCUGGGGUCAGGGGUGUGUGCAUGGACCAGUGUGUACGUGUGGGUGUUGUCUUGUGUGCAUGUGUGUGUGUGUGUGUGCGUGUGUUGUGGGUGUCGUCUUGUGUGCAUGUGUGCGGGUGUGUGUGUGUGUGUGUGUUUGACGGCAGUGAUGAGCCCCAGUGCCAGGUGAGAUCAUGGGAAGCACAUGUAGGCCCUGCAGGAGCACACAGCAGCUGGUCCCGAAACCGCCACAGCGGGAGCCGCCUCGGCCUGGGCUGCUGCUGGAAACUUCUGACCCCGCGUUCCCGCCGGGCCUCCGCCUCUAAAGCAGCACGGGGCCACGAGGCCAAUUAGUUCCAGAGGUGGAACCGGCUUUGGCCCCCUCGGCUUCCUGCUGCCUCGGAGCUGUUGCACGAGCUCCAUUUUAGGGGGGGGGGGAGUGUCAAACUGAUGGUUGGUUACAUAAAAAAAAAGAAACUGGAGCAGGAAAAACAGGGCUGUUCAGCUCGCUGGAUAUGUUUAACAAGCAGCACGGGUGAAUGGAAUGAAAAUGAAAAAUGAAUGAAAAAUGAAUGGGUGAUUUUCCCCCCAUUACUAUUUAAAGAGUGGACGUGGAAUAACAGAGAGCACCAUGGGUAGCCGGACUUGGAGUUUUGCCGAGUCAAGGUGCCCCGAGGCCACUUCCUGCAUGGUUGGUGUGUGUGCAGCUAAAACAAGCUGAG
This is a long non-coding RNA of Alosa alosa (allis shad), 1260 nucleotides long. RefSeq lists it as uncharacterized. The transcript is spliced from 4 exons. Lineage: Eukaryota; Metazoa; Chordata; Actinopteri; Clupeiformes; Clupeidae. The record is from RefSeq and is a predicted model, not a curated record.